RNAcentral lists this unclassified non-coding RNA (20 nucleotides) under Mus musculus (house mouse). RNAcentral describes it as "oocyte_clustered_small_RNA8501". Lineage: Eukaryota; Metazoa; Chordata; Mammalia; Rodentia; Muridae. The record is from RNAcentral.
CGCUGGAGCUAGCGCAGGAG